GAUGAAGAACGUAGCGAAAUGCGAUAAGUAAUGUGAAUUGCAGAAUUCAGUGAAUCAUCGAAUCUUUGAACGCGCAUUGCGCCCUCUGGUAUUCCGGGGGGCAUGCCUGUUCGAGCGUCAUUAUAACCACUCAAGCUCUCGCUUGGUAUUGGGGUUCGCGGUUCCGCGGCCCCUAAAAUCAGUGGCGGUGCCUGUCGGCUCUACGCGUAGUAAUACUCCUCGCGUCUGGGUCCGGUAGGUCUACUUGCCAGCAACCCCCAAUUUUUACAGGUUGACCUCGGAUCAGGUAGGGAUACCCGCUGAACUUAAGCAUAUCAAUAAGCGGAGGA
RNAcentral lists this unclassified non-coding RNA (329 nucleotides) under soil metagenome. RNAcentral's name for it is "partial contains 5.8S ribosomal RNA, internal transcribed spacer 2, and large subunit ribosomal RNA". The stretch from base 1 to 120 matches the Rfam family "5.8S ribosomal RNA", at positions 35 to 154 of the family's 154-position model. The record is from RNAcentral.